GACAUGAAGAGGAAGAAAAGGUGACUUAAGAGCAGUGGGCAUGGGAACAUGAUGGAAGGCUAAAGCCCUUGUUCCCCGUCUAACACUAGAGGAGGCUUUGGUUUGAGUUUUUCUGAUGCCUUCCAUGCCUAUUGUUCUUUGGUGCCCCUUCCUCUUCCUUUUGGAU
This 166-nucleotide microRNA precursor is filed under the name Triticum aestivum (bread wheat). RNAcentral describes it as "MIR2118 microRNA precursor family". It matches the Rfam family "MIR2118 microRNA precursor family". The record is from Rfam by way of RNAcentral. Lineage: Eukaryota; Viridiplantae; Streptophyta; Magnoliopsida; Poales; Poaceae. RNAcentral also lists the same sequence under 1 other name.